RNAcentral lists this transfer RNA (72 nucleotides) under Bos taurus (domestic cattle). It matches the Rfam family "tRNA". Rfam says of the family: Transfer RNA (tRNA) molecules are approximately 80 nucleotides in length. Lineage: Eukaryota; Metazoa; Chordata; Mammalia; Artiodactyla; Bovidae. RNAcentral also lists the same sequence under 4 other names. The record is from Rfam by way of RNAcentral.
UCCUUGUUGGCUCAGACGAUAAAGAGUCUGUCUGCAAUGCAGGAAAACCAGGUUCAAUCCCUGGAUUGGGAA